UUUCAGGAUUGAUACUCAAUCAAAUACAAGGCGAUUUCAAUCCCUCUUUCGUUAUCUUCUUGAGGAUGUUGCUUUGGAGCCCAAACGGUUGAAUAAAAUCCCUGUAGGUCAGGAGUUCAUGAUUUUUUUUAACUUUUACAGGGAACUUUUUACUUGAUGUGGAUAACUAUCAUUCUAGCCAUGACAUUGAUUGAGGAGCCAAUAUAUUUAGCAUUGAAAUUUAAAAUUAACUUUAGAAUUCUUCAUUAAUUCUCAUGUCCAGUGAGAUCUAUUUCUUUUACUUUCGAGGUUUAUAUUUUUUUCUCACUCGGGUGGGUUUUCUGGUAAUGCAUCUUCAGCCCCUGAAUCAAGAAAUUGUAAAUUCUCCAGUAAUGUGUUGAUUCAUGCAGUUGACAAACUUGGGAGCUUCUUAAGGAAAUUUCCUCUUUUUCCAAAUGCUUUUCUGGUUAGUGGUGUAGAAAACUUCUUUAUUAUUGAACUUGCAGAUCAGGUAAAUUUUGAAGCACUCUGUGCUGCAAGUACUUUUGUUGAGUUUUUGUUCUCACAUUGCAUUGAAUGAGGGUGAUAUUUUCUUUACUGGUCAGCUUCAAAAACUGAAGGUGGAACCAGCACAUAAAACUUCUCCAGGGCCUGAGUCAUUGGGUAUUAUUGUUGGAAUUGUUUUCUUGGUCUUGGGAAUCUUAUUCCAGUAUUUCAACUUCACUGCAGAUUCAAAUAGUUAAAACCUCCGCAGAGGACAAGAAAGAACAUAAGCCACCUAUACAGCAGAGCUAACAAGAGAAAGAACCCCUUCUAACAGAGAUCAAGGCAGAAAAAUCCUCUUCCACCAUCCAGUAGCAUAUAUAUAAAGACCUAUCCAAACUCUUUUGAACAAUGAGCAACUCAAUAUUGUCGAUAUUUUGAUGUUUU
This is a non-coding RNA of Prunus avium (sweet cherry), 909 nucleotides long. Lineage: Eukaryota; Viridiplantae; Streptophyta; Magnoliopsida; Rosales; Rosaceae. The record is from RefSeq and is a predicted model, not a curated record.